CACAGGGCAGGGUGCUGGCUAACGGCCAGUCGAGGCGACUCGCAGGAAAGUGCCACAGAAAACAGACCGCCUGUCCUCGCAAGGGGGCGGGUAAGGGUGAAACGGUGCGGUAAGAGCGCACCGCGUCCGGGGUGACUCGGACGGCACGGUAAACCCCACCUGGAGCAAGAGCCAAUAGGAGCGCGUCCCCGCAAGGGGACAGGGAUGGCCCGUCCCAUGCGUUCGGGUUGCUCGCUGAUGAGGUCCCUGGGCAACCAGGGCCCUAGAUGAAUGUUCGCCGCCCAUCCCGAAAGGGGUGGGG
This 301-nucleotide unclassified non-coding RNA is filed under the name Corallococcus sp. 116782. Its description in RNAcentral is "partial RNAseP RNA". It matches the Rfam family "Bacterial RNase P class A", at positions 60 to 326 of the family's 367-position model. From Rfam's summary of the family: Ribonuclease P (RNase P) is a ubiquitous endoribonuclease, found in archaea, bacteria and eukarya as well as chloroplasts and mitochondria. Its best characterised activity is the generation of mature 5'-ends of tRNAs by cleaving the 5'-leader elements of precursor-tRNAs. Lineage: Bacteria; Pseudomonadati; Myxococcota; Myxococcia; Myxococcales; Myxococcaceae. The record is from RNAcentral.